CACCGCCACGGUAAUCCGUAGGGUGCAGGCGUUAAUCGGAAUUACUGGGCGUAAAGCGUGCGCAGGCGGUUAUAUAAGUCAGAUGUGAAAUCCCCGGGCUCAACCUGGGAACUGCAUUUGAGACUGUAUGGCUAGAGUGCGGCAGAGGGGGAUGGAAUUCCGCGUGUAGCAGUGAAAUGCGUAGAUAUGCGGAGGAACACCGAUGGCGAAGGCAAUCCCCUGGGCCUGCACUGACGCUCAUGCACGAAAGCGUGGGGAGCAAACAGGAUUAGAUACCCCCGUAGUCCCUGUCUCUUAUACA
Molecule: ribosomal RNA, 301 nt
Filed under: uncultured bacterium
Lineage: Bacteria
Description: partial 16S ribosomal RNA
Rfam family: Bacterial small subunit ribosomal RNA
Source: RNAcentral